RNAcentral lists this ribosomal RNA (438 nucleotides) under uncultured archaeon. Its description in RNAcentral is "bacterial SSU rRNA". It matches the Rfam family "Archaeal small subunit ribosomal RNA", at positions 559 to 997 of the family's 1478-position model. The record is from RNAcentral.
UCAACGUAUUAGGCUUCGGGGGAUACUGCCAGACUUGGAACCGGGAGAGGUAAGAGGUACUACAGGGUAGGAGUGAAAUCUUGUAAUCCCUGUGGGACCACCUGUGGCGAAGGCGUCUUACCAGAACGGGUUCGACGGUGAGGGACGAAAGCUGGGGGCACGAACCGGAUUAGAUACCCGGGUAGUCCCAGCCGUAAACGAUGCUCGCUAGGUGUCAGGCAUGGCGCGACCGUGUCUGGUGCCGCAGGGAAGCCGUGAAGCGAGCCACCUGGGAAGUACGGCCGCAAGGCUGAAACUUAAAGGAAUUGCGGGGGAGCACAACAACGGGUGGAAGCCUGCGGUUUAAUUGGACUCAACGCCGGACAACUCACCGGGGGCGACAGCAAUAUGUAGGCCAAGCUGAAGACUUUGCCUGAAUCGCUGAGUAGUGGUGCAUGG